GUUAGGAAUAUUGGACAAUGGACGCAAGUCUGAUCCAGCCAUGCCGCGUGAGUGAUGAAGGCCUUCGGGUUGUAAAGCUCUUUAGCCGAUGAUUAUAAUGACUGUAGUCGGAAAAUAAGCCCCGGCUAACUUCGUGCCAGCAGCCGCGGUAAUACGAAGGGGGCGAGCGUUAUUCGGAAUCACUGGGCGUAAAGCGUGCGUAGGCGGUUUUGUAAGUUGGGAGUGAAAGCCCAGGGCUCAACCCUGGAAUUGCUCUUAAAACUGCAAGGCUCGAAUCUCGGAGAGGAUAGCGGAAUUUCCAGUGUAGCAGUGAAAUGCGUAGAUAUUGGAAGGAACACCAGUGGCGUAAGCGGCUAUCUGGACGAGUAUUGACGCUGAGGCACGAAAGCGUGGGGAUCAAACAGGAUUAGAAACCCUGGUAGUCC
Molecule: ribosomal RNA, 425 nt
Filed under: uncultured bacterium
Lineage: Bacteria
Description: partial 16S ribosomal RNA
Rfam family: Bacterial small subunit ribosomal RNA
Source: RNAcentral